RNAcentral lists this ribosomal RNA (425 nucleotides) under uncultured bacterium. Its description in RNAcentral is "bacterial SSU rRNA". It matches the Rfam family "Bacterial small subunit ribosomal RNA", at positions 354 to 796 of the family's 1533-position model. The record is from RNAcentral.
GUGAGGAAUAUUGCACAAUGGAGGAAACUCUGAUGCAGCAACGCUGCGUGGAGGAUGACGCAUUUCGGUGUGUAAACUCCUUUUAAGAGGGAAGAUUAUGACGGUACCUCUUGAAUAAGCACCGGCUAACUCCGUGCCAGCAGCCGCGGUAAUACGGAGGGUGCAAGCGUUACUCGGAAUCACUGGGCGUAAAGGGUGCGUAGGCUGACUUUUAAGUCAGGCGUGAAAUCCAAUGGCUUAACCAUUGAACUGCGCUUGAAACUGGGGGUCUAGAGUUCAGAAGGGGCAGAUGGAAUUAGUGGUGUAGGGGUAAAAUCCGUAGAUAUCACUAGGAAUAUCAAAAGCGAAGGCGAUCUGCUGGGAUGAUACUGACGCUGAGGCACGAAAGCGUGGGGAGCAAACAGGAUUAGAUACCCGAGUAGUCC